Molecule: ribosomal RNA, 1497 nt
Filed under: metagenome
Description: bacterial SSU rRNA
Rfam family: Bacterial small subunit ribosomal RNA
Source: RNAcentral
AGAGUUUGAUCCUGGCUCAGAACGAACGCUGGCGGCGCGUUUUAAGCAUGCAAGUCGAACGGUAUACAAAGCUUGCUUUGUAGAGAGUGGCGGACGGGUGAGUAACGCGUAGGUAAUCUACCUUAGAGUUGGGGAUAGCCCAUGGAAACAUGGGGUAAUACCGAAUAAUCUUCUUUUUAUUAAUUAGAAAGAAGGAAAGGGGCUUCGGCCUCGCUUUUAGAUGAGCCUGCGUACUAUUAGCUAGUUGGUGGGGUAAGAACCUACCAAGGCGACGAUAGUUAGCCGGCCUGAGAGGGUGACCGGCCACACUGGGACUGAGACACGGCCCAGACUCCUACGGGAGGCAGCAGCUGAGAAUCUUCCGCAAUGGUCGCAAGACUGACGGAGCGACGCCGCGUGGACGAAGAAUGUCGAGAGAUUGUAAAGUCCUUUUAUAGGUGAGGAAUAACUCCUAGAGGAAAUGCUAGGAGGAUGACGUUAGCCUAUGAAUAAGCCCCGGCUAAUUACGUGCCAGCAGCCGCGGUAAUACGUAAGGGGCGAGCGUUGUUCGGAAUUAUUGGGCGUAAAGGGAGCGCAGGCGGUUACAUAAGUCUGAUGUGAAAGACCACAGCUCAACUGUGGGAACGCGUUGGAAACUGCGUAACUAGAGUCAUAGAGGGGGAGAUGGAAUUCCUAGUGUAGGGGUGAAAUCUGUUGAUAUUAGGAAGAACACCGGAGGCGAAGGCGAUCUCCUGGCUAAUGACUGACGCUGAGGCUCGAAAGCGUAGGGAGCAAACAGGAUUAGAUACCCUGGUAGUCUACGCCGUAAACGAUGUGCACUUGGUGUUGGAUCGUAGGAUUCAGUGCCGAAGCAAACGCGAUAAGUGCACCGCCUGGGGAGUAUGCCGGCAACGGUGAAACUCAAAGGAAUUGACGGGGGCCCGCACAAGCGGUGGAGCAUGUGGUUUAAUUCGAUGAUACGCGAGGAACCUUACCAGGGCUUGACAUAUAGUGGACGAGUAUAGAGAUAUGCUUUUCCUUCGGGACUGCUAUACAGGUGCUGCAUGGUUGUCGUCAGCUCGUGCCGUGAGGUGUUGGGUUAAGUCCCGCAACGAGCGCAACCCCUAUUGUCUGUUGCCAGCAUUAAGUUGGGGACUCAGGCAAGACUGCCGGUGACAAACCGGAGGAAGGUGGGGAUGACGUCAAAUCAUCAUGGCCCUUAUGUCCUGGGCUACACACGUGCUACAAUGGCCAGUACAGAGUGACGCGAAGCCGCGAGGUGGAGCAAAACGCAGAAAGCUGGUCUCAGUUCGGAUUGGAGUCUGAAACUCGACUCCAUGAAGGUGGAAUCGCUAGUAAUCGCGCAUCAGCAUGGCGCGGUGAAUACGUUCCCGGGCCUUGUACACACCGCCCGUCACACCACCCGAGUUGGGGGUACCCGAAGUCGCUCGUCUAACUGGUAACAGAGGACGGUGCCGAAGGUAUGCUCGGUAAGGGGGGUGAAGUCGUAACAAGGUA